CCUACGGGGGGCAGCAGUGGGGAAUAUUGCACAAUGGGGGAAACCCUGAUGCAGCGACGCCGCGUGAAGGAAGAAGUAUUUCGGUAUGUAAACUUCUAUCAGCAGGGAAGAAAAUGACGGUACCUGACUAAGAAGCCCCGGCUAACUACGUGCCAGCAGCCGCGGUAAUACGUAGGGGGCAAGCGUUAUCCGGAUUUACUGGGUGUAAAGGGAGCGUAGGCGGCGAUGCAAGUCAGAAGUGAAAGCCCGGGGCUCAACUCCGGGACUGCUUUUGAAACUGUGUUGCUAGAUUGCAGGAGAGGUAAGUGGAAUUCCUAGUGUAGCGGUGGAAUGCGUAGAUAUUAGGAGGAACACCAGUGGCGAAGGCGGAUUGCUAGACUGUAACUGACACUGGGGCACGAAAGCGUGGGGAGCAAACAGGAUUAGAUACCCCUGUAGUC
This 440-nucleotide ribosomal RNA is filed under the name uncultured bacterium. RNAcentral describes it as "partial 16S ribosomal RNA". It matches the Rfam family "Bacterial small subunit ribosomal RNA", at positions 338 to 795 of the family's 1533-position model. The record is from RNAcentral.